CAUUAAGUUGGGCACUCUAGAGAGACUGCCAGGGAUAACCUGGAGGAAGGUGGGGAUGACGUCAAAUCAUCAUGCCCCUUAUGCUUAGGGCUACCCACGUGCUACAAUGGGUAGUACAGAGGGUUCCCAAGCCGUAAGGUGGAGCUAAUCCCUUAAAGCUACUCUCAGUUCGGAUUGUAGGCUGAAACUCGCCUACAUGAAGCUGGAGUUACUAGUAAUCGCAGAUCAGA
RNAcentral lists this ribosomal RNA (230 nucleotides) under Clostridioides difficile. RNAcentral describes it as "partial 16S ribosomal RNA". It matches the Rfam family "Bacterial small subunit ribosomal RNA", at positions 1122 to 1353 of the family's 1533-position model. The record is from RNAcentral. Lineage: Bacteria; Bacillati; Bacillota; Clostridia; Peptostreptococcales; Peptostreptococcaceae.